GAGUUGCCCUUUCGCCUCCCAGUAACCAGACAACACAUGAUUCUGGGGGUACAAACUGGAAUUCUUUAAUGGCAGCCACAACUGGCCUUAUAUGCAUGUCCCCAUGCAAGGGGCACUCCCUACUGGACCUCAGAGUAGACUACAGUAAAAACAUACACACGAUUACAUUGGCUCUCAGGUCCAGGACACUCCCAUACAAAAUCAGAUAAUCCCUCCUCUGUGCC
Pelobates cultripes (western spadefoot toad) is the source of this 224-nucleotide non-coding RNA. The record is from the annotation of a GenBank genome assembly. Lineage: Eukaryota; Metazoa; Chordata; Amphibia; Anura; Pelobatidae.